This 64-nucleotide transfer RNA is filed under the name human gut metagenome. It matches the Rfam family "tRNA", at positions 6 to 65 of the family's 71-position model. From Rfam's summary of the family: Transfer RNA (tRNA) molecules are approximately 80 nucleotides in length. Their secondary structure includes four short double-helical elements and three loops (D, anti-codon, and T loops). The record is from RNAcentral.
AGUAGCUCAGCUGGAUAGAGCAACGGCCUUCUAAGCCGUGGGUCGCAGGUUCGAAUCCUGUCUG